UAAAGAACCUACCUUAUAGACAGGGACAACUAUUGGAAACGAUAGCUAAUACCUGAUAAGAAAGAAACUCGCAUGAGAGAAGUUCGAAAGUCGGAGCAAUCUGACACUAUAAGAUGGCUUUGCGGUGCAUUAGCUAGUUGGUAGGGUAAAAGCCUACCAAGGCGACGAUGCAUAGCCGACCUGAGAGGGUGAUCGGCCACAUUGGGACUGAGACACGGCCCAGACUCCUACGGGAGGCAGCAGAG
This 245-nucleotide ribosomal RNA is filed under the name uncultured Gemella sp. RNAcentral's name for it is "partial 16S ribosomal RNA". It matches the Rfam family "Bacterial small subunit ribosomal RNA", at positions 118 to 354 of the family's 1533-position model. Lineage: Bacteria; Bacillati; Bacillota; Bacilli; Caryophanales; Gemellaceae. The record is from RNAcentral.